Long non-coding RNA from Engraulis encrasicolus (European anchovy), 171 nucleotides. RefSeq lists it as uncharacterized. NCBI's taxonomy places the organism in Eukaryota, Metazoa, Chordata, Actinopteri, Clupeiformes, Engraulidae. The transcript has 2 exons. The record is from RefSeq and is a predicted model, not a curated record.
UGACCAAGGACUUGGACAACGUCUCUGUUUACAUCUAUAGUGUAUUACACAACUGAAGAUGUGCACAGUACGCUACUGCCUGCAUCCUACCACCACAGAGGAUCCGAUAUGCAGAACCAGCUUCAAAAACCAUUGCAAUUAUGAAACACAGUUAAUAAAUGCUUAUAUACA